AUGGUUCUAUCGGGCCAUUCAGUGAUGUCAUUUGCUUUCCAGAGUUCUGAACGCAGGCCCUGUCAAGCACGGAUGUGUUGCCCUGUCAGCGGUGCCCUGCAUGGACCAGAGUGUCUCCCUCCUCCACAGCCCCCUUCCCAGCUCUCCACUCAUCCCACAGGAAAUGCCACGGUUUGCACAGUGCUGGCAGGUCUUGGUGAUGAGUGGUUUCCAGGCACCUCGGCCAACCUCCCUCCGACUACGUGCGGUGCUCCUUGUUUCCACCUUGGUGUUCAAAUAUCCACAGCUCCUGGUAUUUAUCUGAUUGCCUCUUUACACUAAAAUGUCACAUCUUGCCCGACGCUGCAUGGGAGCAGCUAAAUAUCUGGAAUAAUCAGUUCAUUGGAUUUACCUGGACUUUGCAUAAUUUAUCUGAUGCUUCUCGAAUCCUUCCUAUGUAGUUCAGUAAGAUCAUCGUGUUAGCAUUGGACGUACACAGCCUUUCCUUACGGAGGGUCAGGUUGACUGAUUACCACAGAAUUAUCUUCCUUGUAGCUUUAAUGAGUUGGAAGGUCACUUGUUCCAGUGUGUUCUCAGGCACUGACAUGCACAGGCUUUCUACAGCUUAUGCUGAGAAGGGAGAGAGCCACUCACGAGCCAGUUCCCUUUGAAGAUGACUCUGGUCCAAUCAAAAUGUGUUCCCACAGCCACGCCCAUUGGAACGGGCCCACGGUUCCCGAGCUGAAGGAUGACUGUUGAACUUCUCAGCAGGUGAGAAGUCGAAAUACUAAUCAGAGGACAGACGUUUAGCCUGGUGGUUAGACUCUGGUGAAGGCGCCCAAGGCCCACGUCGUAGUACCUGGGCUUGACUCCUGACUCUAACUCUGGGCUUCGGCUUCCUUCUAAGGCAGAGCUCACAAGGCAGGGGUGAUGGCUCAAGCGCCUGGGCUCCUGUUGUCCACGUGGGAGACGUGGAUUGAGUUCCCAGCUCUGGCUUUGGUCCAACCCAGUCCUGGCUGUUGCAGCCAUGUAGGGAAUAAACCAAUGGAUGGGAGAACUAACUCA
Molecule: long non-coding RNA, 1044 nt
Filed under: Oryctolagus cuniculus (rabbit)
Lineage: Eukaryota; Metazoa; Chordata; Mammalia; Lagomorpha; Leporidae
Description: lncRNA (ENSOCUG00000030332.1)
Source: RNAcentral